Molecule: ribosomal RNA, 530 nt
Filed under: uncultured bacterium
Lineage: Bacteria
Description: bacterial SSU rRNA
Rfam family: Bacterial small subunit ribosomal RNA
Source: RNAcentral
CGGCGUGGAUUAGGCAUGCAAGUCGACGGUAUAAACCUUCGGGGUUUAGAGAGUGGCGAACGGGUGAGUAACACGUAGGUAAUCUACCCUCAAAACGGGGACAACCCAGGGAAACUUGGGCUAAUACCGGAUGCGUGCAAACAAUGUUUUGGCUGUUGUAAUUAUUCACGGAAGUGGAUAGUUAUGAGAGUUUCAGAGCAUAAUUUGCAUAAAAGGUGGCGUAAGCUGCCGUUUGAGGAUGAGCCUGCGUCCUAUUAGUUAGUUGGUGAGGUAAUAGCUUACCAAGGCGAUGAUAGGUAGGCGGCCUUAACGGGUGGUCGCCCACACUGGGAUUGAGAUACGGCCCAGACUCCUACGGGAGGCAGCAGUCGAGAAUAGUCUACAAUGGACGAAAGUCUGAUAGUGCGACGCCGCGUGAACGAAGAAUCCUUUCGGGGUGUAAAGUUCUUUUCUAUGUGAGCAGUUCCUUUUAUAUGAAGAGUAUAGGAGGCGGGAUUUAAGCAUAGGAAUAAGCAACGGCUAACUCCGUG